This 377-nucleotide ribosomal RNA is filed under the name uncultured bacterium. RNAcentral's name for it is "bacterial SSU rRNA". It matches the Rfam family "Bacterial small subunit ribosomal RNA", at positions 521 to 896 of the family's 1533-position model. The record is from RNAcentral.
UAAGACAGAGGUGCCGAGCGUUAGGCGGAAUCACUGGGCUUAAAGCGUGUGUAGGCGGAUUUCUAAGUACCUUGUGAAAUCCCACGGCUCAACCGUGGAACUGCUGGGUAUACUGGUUAUCUUGAGCCACUUAGGGGCAACCGGAACAAAUGGUGGAGCGGUGAAAUGCGUAGAUAUCAUUUGGAACGCCAAUGGUGAAAACAGGUUGCUGGGAGUGUGCUGACGCUGAGACACGAAAGCCAGGGUAGCGAACGGGAUUAGAUACCCCGGUAGUCCUGGCCGUAAACGAUGUCGACUAGAUCGCAGUGCCUCUGACGGUAUUGCGGUCGAAGCAAAAGUGCUAAGUCGACCGCCUGGGAAGUACGGUCGCAAGGCUA